RNAcentral lists this unclassified non-coding RNA (343 nucleotides) under soil metagenome. RNAcentral describes it as "partial contains 5.8S ribosomal RNA, internal transcribed spacer 2, and large subunit ribosomal RNA". The stretch from base 1 to 120 matches the Rfam family "5.8S ribosomal RNA", at positions 35 to 154 of the family's 154-position model. The record is from RNAcentral.
GAUGAAGAACGUAGCGAAAUGCGAUAAGUAGUGUGAAUUGCAGAAUUCAGUGAAUCAUCGAAUCUUUGAACGCACAUUGCGGCCAUAGGUAUUCCUUUGGCCAUGCCUGUUCGAGCGUCAUUUACACCCUCAAGCCUAGCUUGGUGUUGGGCGUCUGUCCCGCCGUUUUCGCGCGCGGACUCGCCUCAAAGUCAUUGGCGGCGGUCGUGCCGGCCCCCUCGCGCAGCACAUUUGCGCUUCUCGGAGGCCCGGCGGAUCCGCGCUCCAGCAAGACCUUUCACGACUUGACCUCGGAUCAGGUAGGGAUACCCGCUGAACUUAAGCAUAUCAAUAAGCGGGAGGA